AGGAAAUGAGCAAUGGGUGAGCAAGCAUUACCACCAGAGCUCUGCCUUCUGUCAGAUCACUGGGGGCAUUAGAUUCUCACUGGAGCACAAACCCUAUUGUGAACUGUACAUGUGAGGGAUCUAGCUUGCAUGCUCCUUAUAAGGAGCAUAUAUCUAAUGCCUGAUGAUCUGUCACUGUCUCCCAUCACCUCCAGAUGGGACUGUCUAGUUGCAGGAAAACAAGCUCAGGGCUCCCAACUGAUUCUACAUUAUGGUGAGUUGUAUAAUUACUUCAUUAUAUAUUACAAUGUAAUAAUAAUAGAAAUAAAGUGUGCAAUAAAUGUCAUGUGCUUGAAUCAUCCUGAAACCAUCUCCCGUUUCUCAUGCCUGGUCCGUGGAAAAAGUAUCUUCCAUGAAACUGGUCCCUGGUGCCAAAAAGGUUGGGGACCACUGCCCUAACACAUGCAAAAGGCCUAGAAGCCAGGUCCCUGCAGCACUCUCCCCUGGCUUCCCACUGGACUUUCUAGAGGUCAGAGUACACAGCGCAUUCUCUAACAGUGCAAAACCCAAGGUAAGGAGCCCAUGGCGGGUGGCCUCUCCUGGGAUUACCUGUCUCCUGUGUAAGGAUGAGGGCAGUUACAGGAAGCUCCUUUGGGGGAGAGGAUGCAGGUUCCACCUUCCAGGCAGGGUGCAAAAGUACAGUUCUCCCUUCCUUGUUCACAGUGCUUCCCAGAGAACUGUGGGGGACAUUUGCAGACAUAGCCUGGGAGAAAAAGAAGGGAGGUGAGAGACCGCACUGGCCUGGCAGUUAAAGGAGACCUGGCAUUGGCAGACUCGUGUGUUCGUGCAGCCAUUCAGUUACCAUUUAUUUAUUUGGUUGCUCCCCUCUGUGCCCAAUACCGUGCUGGGCAUUGGUGCCCUGCUGAACAAGAGCACUUUGGUCCCUGCCCUCAAACAGCUUACAGCCCACCAGAGACAACAGUCACCUAAAGAACAGUAAUAAACAGGAUAACAACCAUAGACACUAACUUAGUGCUAGUCACUGUUCCAAGGAUCUUCCUGUGUUGGCUCAUUUGAUCCUCACGACGACCCUGAGGUUGGUGACUGUCACCAUCCUCAUCAGGGGACAGGUACAAAGGGAUGGCAGAUGAGGAAAGGAGGCACAGAGAAUGGACAGAAUUUGCUCAAGGUCACACAGCCAGUAAAUAGGCAGCUAGCUAUAAUAUCAGUAUCUCAGUAAUUAUAAUAAAAUUAGUUUUAUUGAAGGGAAAUGCUGGGAGGGGUGGGGGAUGAGGCUAGCUUACUCUAGGGACCUGGGAGCUAUUUCAUUUGAGAUCUGAAGGAUGAGUAGAAAUUAGCUAGGCAAGAAGCUAGAGGGCAAAGAGAAAGGUGUUUCAGGUGGAAGAGAAGAGUGUGUGCAAAGGCUAGGGAAGGGUGUGGCAUGGUCAAGGAACUCAAACCACGCCAGGGUGGGCCAGCCUGGUGAGGGACAGGGAGAGUUUGAACUAUGGCCUGGGAGGUGCAGGAGCCACCUGCAGGGAUUGGGACUCUAUCCUAACAGCACGGCGGCCACUGAGCAGUUCUCAGCAGAAGAGUGCCAUGCACAGGUCUGUGCUGGAUAAAGAUCACCCCAGCUCCUGCUGGAAGGUGGAAGGCAGGGAUAGAAGCCGGAGAACAGGGAGGAGGCUCGUGCCAGGGUGAGGUGAUGUGGGCUUGGGACAGAGGGACAGCAGUGGGGAAGGGGAGAAGCGAUGGAUUCCUUGGAUAUUUUGCAGGUAGAAAUGACAUGAUUAGCCAGACAAAAAUCAGAAAAUGGGGUAAUGCGAAGUGUUGACAGGCAUGUGGGUACAUAGGAACCUCUCAUGUUGCGUGUGCUGUAUAGAUAGAUGGCUGCAGCCAUGCUGAGAGCAAUGUAGCCCUAUUUAGUCAAAAUAAUUAUUUGCAUACUGUGAGCCUGUGACUUCCACCCCUGGGUGUCGGGUGUGUGUGUGUGAAGGAAACUCUCACACAGCUUCACAAGGAGACAUAUAGGAGAAUGCUCCCUGCAGCAUUGAUGAUGGAGGUGGGUGUUUGGAGUGUGAGGGUGGAGAGGGAAAAUGUGAGUGCAUGUACAUCAUGGAGUACUGAGCCACAGUUAGAAGCAAUUAAUGAGAAUUGCUCAUGGCAGCAUUGACGGAUCUUAAAAAUAUGGUGCUGAGCGAAAGUGUAAACAACAUAUACCACUUAUAUAAAUUGGAAAUUCAAGCAUAUGAAAAACAACGUGUAUUUUGCAAGAACUCAUUCAAAAACAGUAAAUGUUCGCCUCUAGUGAGGGGAACAUUUAGGGAAGGGGAAGGGAGUGGAAUAUAAGUUAAAGGGGAAUGAGAAGGAGACUGUGUGUAGACCAAUGAUGACAGUAAGGUAUGUGAUUAAUUCAACCCUUUGUCCCUGAGGUCCCCAUUCAUAUCCUCCCUCGUCUCCCCAGAAGUAGAAAGGUAGUUUUUGUUGAGAGAGAAGGAAGACUCCUGGCUUCCCCUAGUCUAGAUAUUGCAGAUUCCAACCUGUUACUCACAAGAUAGGGGAAGAGAGAGAAAUUUGGAACCAGGAGGCUCUGAGAUCUCCACCCUGACAUGCGUUUUGCACCUGAAAAGCCUUCUGGGAUAAACCCUGGGUUCAGCCUGGCAUCCCAGCCCUCACCUGCCCCAUGGGUCCAUGAGCACUUCCCACCAUUGAGGCAUGGGUUCUGGCUGCAGUAGUCACUGUGGAGGCAGCACUGGGUGAGGGCUUGUGUCUCCAGCAAGCCUGCCACCGUCUUGCCAGGGGCCAGCAGAUCUAGAGCCUCUUCGUUGACCACGACAGCAUCCAGGCAGCCUUCAAAGCCCUGGGAGACAUUCGAGGAAGAAUGCAACAGGACGAGGCCGCCCAGCAAGAGGUGUCUUUCGGGCCUCAGACCACGGCAGUUCUCCGGGACCACAAGGGAGGUGUUGCCCAUGCUGUCAACCAUCAGGCGAAUGGAAGCGUCCAUCUCCUCCACCAGGAUGGAGUGCCACUCGUGGUCAUUCACAUGGCGCUGGGAGGAAAGGUUUCCAUAGAAACCACCCAGACAGUGGUAUUCCAGCUGGGGCACUCCACUGGCCAGCUGCAAAGGAAACCCAAACAGCCAUCAGCAAAGCCAAAGAGUCCUUGUAAACCUGCUAACAGGCUGCCAGUUCAAAGAAUGUUGUUUGUAUUUUUAUGGGUAGGAGGGGGGUGUUUGGUGAUUUUCAAGGCUGUUUUAGACAUGGCAUUUGCAGAGCAUAAAAACCCUCAAAGUG
RNAcentral lists this non-coding RNA (3272 nucleotides) under Pongo abelii (Sumatran orangutan). The record is from RNAcentral. Lineage: Eukaryota; Metazoa; Chordata; Mammalia; Primates; Hominidae.